GAUAUCUGAUUAGCUAGUUGGUAGGGUAAAAGCCUACCAAGGCAUCGAUCAGUAGCUGGUCUGAGAGGACGACCAGCCACACUGGAACUGAGACACGGUCCAGACUCCUACGGGAGGCAGCAGUGGGGAAUUUUGGACAAUGGGCGCAAGCCUGAUCCAGCAAUGCCGCGUGAGUGAAGAAGGCCUUCGGGUUGUAAAGCUCUUUUGUCAGGGAAGAAACGGACUUUUCUAAUACAGAGGUCUAAUGACGGUACCUGAAGAAUAAGCACCGGCUAACUACGUGCCAGCAGCCGCGGUAAUACGUAGGGUGCAAGCGUUAAUCGGAAUUACUGGGCGUAAAGCGUGCGCAGGCGGUUUUGUAAGACUGUCGUGAAAUCCCCGGGCUCAACCUGGGAAUGGCGAUGGUGACUGCAAGGCUAGAGUUUGGCAGAGGGGGGUAGAAUUCCACGUGUAGCAGUGAAAUGCGUAGAUAUGUGGAGGAACACCGAUGGCGAAGGCAGCCCCCUGGGUCAAAACUGACGCUCAUGCACGAAAGCGUGGGGAGCAAACAGGAUUAGAUACCCUGGUAGUCCACGCCCUAAACGAUGUCUACUAGUUGUCGGGUCUUAAUUGACUUGGUAACGCAGCUAACGCGUGAAGUAGACCGCCUGGGGAGUACGGUCGCAAGAUUAAAACUCAAAGGAAUUGACGGGGACCCGCACAAGCGGUGGAUGAUGUGGAUUAAUUCGAUGCAACGCGAAAAACCUUACCUACCCUUGACAUGGCUGGAAUCCCNGAGAGAUUGGGGAGUGCUCGAAAGAGAACCAGUACACAGGUGCUGCNUGGCUGUCGUCAGCUCGUGUNUGAGAUGUUGGGUUAAGUCCCGCAACGAGCGCAACCCUUGUCAUUAGUUGCUACGAAAGGGCACUCUAAUGAGACUGCCGGUGACAAACCGGAGGAAGGUGGGGAUGACGUCAAGUCCUCAUGGCCCUUAUGGGUAGGGCUUCACACGUCAUACAAUGGUACAUACAGAGCGCCGCCAACCCGCGAGGGGGAGCUAAUCGCAGAAAGUGUAUCGUAGUCCGGAUUGUAGUCUGCAACUCGACUGCAUGAAUUGGAAUCGCUAGUAAUCGCGGAUCAGC
RNAcentral lists this ribosomal RNA (1121 nucleotides) under Duganella zoogloeoides. RNAcentral describes it as "bacterial SSU rRNA". It matches the Rfam family "Bacterial small subunit ribosomal RNA", at positions 232 to 1353 of the family's 1533-position model. The record is from RNAcentral. Lineage: Bacteria; Pseudomonadati; Pseudomonadota; Betaproteobacteria; Burkholderiales; Oxalobacteraceae.